AUUGAACGCUGGCGGCAGGCCUAACACAUGCAAGUCGAACGAGUGGCGUACGGGUUAGUAAGGUCUGGGAAACUGCCUGAUGGAGGGGGAUAACAACCGGACACUGUAGCUAAUACCGCAUACCUUCGGAUGGGCCCAGGUGGGAUUAGCUAGUAGGUGGGGUAACGGCUCACCUGGGUGAUGAACCCUACCUGGUCUGAGAGGAUGACCAGUCACACUGGAACUGAGACACGGUCCAGACUCCUACGGGAGGCAGCAGUGGGGAAUAUUGCACAAUGGGCGCAAGCCUGAUGCAGCCAUGCCGCGUGUAUGAAGAAGGUCUUCGGGUUGUAAAGUACUUUCAGCGGGGAGGCGUUACCAGCAGAAUAAGCACCGGCUAACUCCGUGCCAGCAGCCGCGGUAAUAC
This 406-nucleotide ribosomal RNA is filed under the name uncultured bacterium. RNAcentral describes it as "partial 16S ribosomal RNA". It matches the Rfam family "Bacterial small subunit ribosomal RNA", at positions 30 to 526 of the family's 1533-position model. The record is from RNAcentral.